GCUGCCGCUGGGCUGAGGCGCAGAGACCUGAUGCCCUCCUCCUUUCCUCGAAGAACGGAUGGAAGGAGUAGCUUGGAGGGACUGAUUGGCUUACUCAGGAUUCUUUGACCUUGCCUGGGAGAAUAGGUCAGGAGACAGAUGGCCCCAAGACCACCAAGAGCCCAUAUCCAGGGCUUCUCUCUCCCCAACUGAAGCUGAUCACCCAGUUGUAGCAAGGUGCAGAGCCAUGGAUGGAAGUACAAGAGGUUUUGUCAGAUACUCUGCAG
Molecule: long non-coding RNA, 266 nt
Filed under: Sus scrofa (pig)
Lineage: Eukaryota; Metazoa; Chordata; Mammalia; Artiodactyla; Suidae
Description: lncRNA (ENSSSCG00025070350.1)
Source: RNAcentral